This 405-nucleotide ribosomal RNA is filed under the name Triticum aestivum (bread wheat). RNAcentral's name for it is "partial small subunit ribosomal RNA". Lineage: Eukaryota; Viridiplantae; Streptophyta; Magnoliopsida; Poales; Poaceae. The record is from RNAcentral.
AUGGAUCUUCUCCAGUUUGUGCUCAACUUUAAAGGCACACCACCAUGGCUGAACUCGACGGCCAUUACCGCCCUUACAGACCGUUGGAGACCGGAGACGCACUCUUUUCACCUUGCUCUUGGUGAGAUGACCAUCACUUUGGAGGAUAUUGCGAUGAUCUCCGGUCUUCCGAUCGAGGGCAGGGCUCUUACCGGGAAGGUGAGGUCUGAGGGGUGGCGACAAAGGGUUGCAGGUUUGGUUGGUGUUGAACCUCCCCCGUGGAUUCAUGAAACAAAGAAGGAUCCUAGGCCAUCUGGUGUUUUGUUCUCGUGGCUACAAGAACAUUUUUACGAGUGCCCAGAGAAUGCCAGUCCGGCUGUUGUGAAGAGGUACGCCAGGUCUUACUUAUGGAAUCUUUUGACCCAA